Molecule: ribosomal RNA, 550 nt
Filed under: uncultured bacterium
Lineage: Bacteria
Description: bacterial SSU rRNA
Rfam family: Bacterial small subunit ribosomal RNA
Source: RNAcentral
UAGGGAAUCUUCGGCAAUGGACGGAAGUCUGACCGAGCAACGCCGCGUGAGUGAAGAAGGUUUUCGGAUCGUAAAGCUCUGUUGUAAGAGAAGAACGAGUGUGAGAGUGGAAAGUUCACACUGUGACGGUAUCUUACCAGAAAGGGACGGCUAACUACGUGCCAGCAGCCGCGGUAAUACGUAGGUCCCGAGCGUUGUCCGGAUUUAUUGGGCGUAAGGCGAGCGCAGGCGGUUAGAUAAGUCUGAAGUUAAAGGCUGUGGCUUAACCAUAGUACGCUUUGGAAACUGUUUAACUUGAGUGCAAGAGGGGAGAGUGGAAUUCCAUGUGUAGCGGUGAAAUGCGUAGAUAUAUGGAGGAACACCGGUGGCGAAAGCGGCUCUCUGGCUUGUAACUGACGCUGAGGCUCGAAAGCGUGGGGAGCAAACAGGAUUAGAUACCCUGGUAGUCCACGCCGUAAACGAUGAGUGCUAGGUGUUAGACCCUUUCCGGGGUUUAGUGCCGUAGCUAACGCAUUAAGCACUCCGCCUGGGGAGUACGACCGCAAGGUUG